GGUUCAGGAUGAACGCUAGCGACAGGCCUAACACAUGCAAGUCGAGGGGCAGCACAAGGAGCAAUCUGAGGUGGCGACCGGCGCACGGGUGAGUAACACGUAUGCAACCUGCCUGUAAGCGGGGAAUAACCCGUUGAAAGACGGACUAAUACCGCAUAAUACUAAAUUACUGCAUGGUAAUUUAUUUAAACAUUUAUGGCUUACAGAUGGGCAUGCGCAUGAUUAGCUAGUUGGAGAGGUAACGGCUCCCCAAGGCAACGACCAUUAGGGGUUCUGAGAGGAAGGUCCCCCCACACUGGUACUGAGACACGGACCAGACUCCUACGGGAGGCAGCAGUGAGGAAUAUUGGUCAAUGGACGAGAGUCUGAACCAGCCAAGUCGCGUGCAGGAAGAAAUGUCCUAUGGAUUGUAAACUGCUUUUGCAGGGGAAUAAAGUGCAUCACGUGUGAUGUUUUGUAUGUACUCUGCGAAUAAGGAUCGGCUAACUCCGUGCCAGCCGCCGC
This 504-nucleotide ribosomal RNA is filed under the name uncultured bacterium. RNAcentral's name for it is "bacterial SSU rRNA". It matches the Rfam family "Bacterial small subunit ribosomal RNA", at positions 21 to 518 of the family's 1533-position model. The record is from RNAcentral.